This 135-nucleotide ribosomal RNA is filed under the name uncultured bacterium. RNAcentral describes it as "partial 16S ribosomal RNA". It matches the Rfam family "Bacterial small subunit ribosomal RNA", at positions 355 to 507 of the family's 1533-position model. The record is from RNAcentral.
UGGGGAAUAUUGCACAAUGGGGGAAACCCUGAUGCAGCGACGCCGCGUGAGCGAAGAAGUAUUUCGGUAUGUAAAGCUCUAUCAGCAGGGAAGAAAAUGACGGUACCUGACUAAGAAGCCCCGGCUAACUACGUG